This is a long non-coding RNA of Gasterosteus aculeatus aculeatus (three-spined stickleback), 4541 nucleotides long. NCBI's taxonomy places the organism in Eukaryota, Metazoa, Chordata, Actinopteri, Perciformes, Gasterosteidae. The record is from Ensembl.
GAACCUGAGACAGCCCUGACUGUGAACCUGAGCCAGCCCUAACUGUGAACCUGAGCCAGCCCUGACUGUGAACCUGAGCCAGCCCUGGCUGUGAACCAGAACUCCCACAAGCGUUGGAUGUUUGCUUUCAAAGUGGCACAUUCAUUUUGACGGCUUCAAUGCUUUGUUGGAGAGCGUUAGUCCACACUCCACACACUGGGCUCUCGGCUCCGCCUCAUUACCUCCGUUUACGAAGCCGUACUUAAUAAAGUCAGGACGGUAUUUGCGCACAAGUUUGGACUUUUGAUGGCACAAAGAAUAUCGACAUCCAUUUGUGCAUCCGGUGAGGGGUAAAUGGGGGACAUUACGGCAAAGAGAAAGAUACCCCAGGUCUAAAUCAGGGUCGCCCCAACCCAACAGAAUCCACAAUCAUUUAUCACUCUGCCAUUUCCUAAAAGGAAUGUCAUUCUGCGGGAAAUCAAAACAAAAUCCCAAACAAGCUUCUUCUCUGGCAAUUUUCAUCCAUUUACUUGUCAGGCUGAGCUUUUAAAGACGCCAGACUUCAGCUGACACUCUUCAGCAGGCAAACAAAUUACAGAGCAACUCUUCAGCUGAGGACACAAAGACAAUCACAGACUCACAUUCACGUUCAUCCUUCAGUCAACAAACGCUGCCUUCGUGGUUGGCCCUUCAGCUGGUAAAUAUGAGCGCACGAGAGGGGGUCUUUUGGUUUAAACGCGGCAGCUAAUGAAUCUUUUACUCACCUCAGAGUGCUCAAACAAGGGACAAGAAGACUGGCAAACUGGUCAAUAAUCAGAUAUAAAAUAUGGCGAAUAACUCUCUUGAAAACCCGGCAAUCUCCUGUGAAAAGAGCAAAGAUAUUGUGUUUAUAACUUUGACGUUUAAUUCAUUUAAUUCAAUUAAUUUUAUUUUGUAUAGACCAAAAUCGCAAAUUACAAAUUUGCCUCAGAGGGCUUUACAGUCUGUACACAUACAACAUCCUCUGUCCAGAAACCCUCCAUCGGCACAGGAACAACUCCCCAAACAAUGAAAAAACCUUCCAAGAGGGAAAAAAAGGGUAGAAACCUUAGUGAGAAGGUCAGAGGAGGGAUCCGUCUCCUGAUGGACAGACUACAAUGGAUGCCAUGUGUACAGAACAAUGUAUAAUACAUGCAAUUACAUGACAUUGUGUUCAUCACCAUGGUUUGUGAUGGAAGAUUUGCACAGACAAUCGGAAAAUCUCUGUGGGUAACAUUUUAUUAACAUUUUAUUAACACAUUAACAUUAAUUAAUUUCUGAAUCAAAUGUCUUUCUCCAUUUAUUUCCUUGCUAGGAGACAAGGGUCACAACAGCUACGUGCUCAGUAGACUGUUACACAUUUUUGUCCCAUCACGUUAUUUUACAUUUAGUUUCUAGGCUCGUCUUAAAGGGAAGAGAAGUUUAAAGCAAGAUUAAAACUAAAGUGAAUGCAAAGAAGCAGGUAAACAUGAUAGAAGUGUUCCUGACUGCCACGCCCACCUGUGUCAGCGGGUCAAAGGUAGCAAAGGAAGCAAAUAGAGGGUAAACUAAAUCGGUCCAAGCCCAGAACCUUCUGGGACUCUGUGACCAACAUUGGUGGUCAUCGCUGAUCGACCAUUUACAAACACCAACUGGAUCGAUCCAAUAAAUACGACUAAAACCAGCUGAGGGCGGUUUGUUUAAUACCAGUCAAAUGUUCUAGUCUCUGCAACAGGAUACAACGAUCAAUUGUGUCAAAUGUGGCACUGAGGUCCAGUAAGACAAGAAAAGAGAUGAGUCCUUGGUCCGAUGAUUGAAACAUGAAAGAAAAAGUCAUUCAAAAAACAACGUUAAAAAACUAAAAAUAGAAUAAAUUCUGCAGUGUAGUUUAAAAGUACCAAAAUACUAAACACAGUAAAUUAAAAGCAGCAUCCAACAGAAGUCUUUAAUCUAGAUUUAAAGGAGCCGAGGGACUCCGAAAAGUACAGCGAGAACAAAGUGAUGUUAAUAUAUUUUAAUGCUGUGUUUAUGAAUACACAUCCAAGUUUGCCGAUCUUUGUUCUCUAUUUGUGUUUGAAGCAGAACAGGAGGAGAUCCUUUGUUCUUCUGAAGGGUUGGAAGAUUCUAUGAUAUAAAUAGCUCUUACCCACAGACGUUUGUCAUGGACAACUUGAUCUCCAGUUGUGAAUACUGAAGGUCACAAUAAUCUCACUUUUGUAGGACACCCGAGGAGUUGAAAGCUCCUGCUGAAGUCACUCUGGAGACUGAAGAUGACUUCCUCAUCAUCGUCCUCUUCCUCUCUCGUCACAUCUGAGUCUUCACAGGUAACUCUCUUCUGUUCCUUCUUCCUUAUUUGAGUCUUUUUUUAAUGAAGUAGAGCGUUGCUUCUCUUACAGCUGGACCUCCGUACUGGAGAAGCAUCUGGAAACUCUAACAAACACCUGUCACUAAAAGCAGUAAAGCACAGAGUGGGAAAGCAACUAAAUGAAGCUUAGGCGAAAAAACGGUUCUCCUCUCUUGUGCCGUCAGUUGUCAUUUCAGCUCGCUCCAAAGGUGACCCGCCACCACCCCCAAAGGUGACCCGCCACCACCGCCAAAGGUGACCCGCCACCACCCCCAAAGGUGACCCGUCACCACCGCCAAAGGUGACCCGCCACCACCCCCAAAGGUGACCCGCCACCACCCCCAAAGGUGACCCGCCACCACCCCCAAAGGUGACCCGCCACCACCGGCAAAGGUCACCCGCCACCACCCCGGACACCUCCAGUCUACAGCAGAACCUGGCGUAGCAGGAGAAUUAUGCAACGUGGGCUCUACCACCACCACCAGUGUCUGGACUCCCAAGGGGGGGAUGUGCCUCGUCUCGGCUCGAGAUCCCGGCCCCGGCUCUAUUCUGCGGCAGGAUGGAGUCCAAGCCCCAAACAACUUGCAAUAUCAUAUUAUACCUGUUAUAAUAAAGCAUUAUUCAAAUUUCAACAAGUCUCUCCGGAUUGAAUUACAUUUACUCAAAGGAGGACCAUUAUGAUGUACUCUUCUGUUUUCAGCUUCCUCCUGCCAGACAUAACAAGACAAAAUGAUGUCAAAAAGACUGUAAUUACAACAACAGGAUGUCCUGAAAACUGUGACAAAAACAACAAGAUGUUCACCAGACUGUGAUGAAGACAGAGCGUUCUUGAGAGAGGAGGAUGUGCCCUCAGGAUGAAGACCAUCGGGUGUCAGGGUAUUCAAUUGUAUAUUACUAAAGCUCGCUCAAUCACACACGCACCCCGCGCACACACACACACACACACACACACGCACACGCACACGCACACACGCACACACACACACACAUGCACACCCCCCGCGCACACACACGCACGCACACACGCACACACAUGCACACCCCCCGCGCACACACACACACGCACCCAUGCACGCACCCACACACACACGCACACACACACACCACCCCGCACGCACCCACACACACACGCACACACACACACCACCCCGCACACACACACACGCACACACACACACACACACGCACCCAUGCACGCACCCCGCGCGCACACACACACGCAUGCACCCCGCGCGCACACAUACACACACACACACGCACCCAUGCACGCACCCCGCGCGCACACACACACCCCCGCCCCCCCCCCUUUUACAUACACACAAACAGACGCACCCCAGGCCCUUUCGACCUCACCAUUCACAGAUGAAAGGAAACAGGUUUAAUUGUUUCAUGUGUAAUUCUUUUGGUUGCAGAACAAAAACAGCUCAUGUUCUUUUGAGGAUUCAUGUUUUCAGUCAGCAAUGUUCCCUUUAGCAUUAUAUUGUAUAAAAAAAUAUUCCUAUCUUUAUAUGUAUAGAGGUUAUAUAUCUGUAUACUAUAACACGGGUAGAUGCAAUCCAGUGUUCUGAUUGGUUGAGAGUGAGUCAUGGGGGCUCUAUAAUUGGGCGAUAAUGUACAGUACCUGUUCACAUUGACCGAACGUUCCACAUCACUGCGCACUCAAAGUAACAGGUUAGCUUUCGCGCGACUGAUUGACAUUUUAGCUUUUAGCUCGGUGCCGAUCGCAGAAAAAAGACCGAAAAAAGUCCCACAAAUGAUCAGUUUCAGGCAAUGCGAACUUUUGCAACCGGACAAUUAAGGUGGACGUCAUCGAAUGAACCCAAUGCGGUUUACAUGCACGUACAGGGAGUAUUUUUCUGUAGACUACUGAAAUGAGAUACACAAUGUUUGGUGGCUACAACUAUUUUGUGCUAAAAGGCAACUAUUUACUUAAUAUUUAUAAUUUCGCUGGUACCGUAUUAUAAAGGCAACUUAUUGCUUAAAUCUACAGAGGUUAUAUAUCUGUAUAUCUAUAGAGGUUAUAUAUCUUUAUACCUACAAAUGUCAUAUGUAUACCUACAAAGGUUAUAUAUCGGUAAGGUUGUAUGUCGUUAUGUCACAAAGUUGAUCGCACUUUUUUUUCAUCUUACCUGCAUGUUUUCUUACUCUUGUCAUUUCAGAUCAUCCCACAUUAUGAGCUCAUUACGCACACCUGGUUCUCACCUGCAGCACAUCCACUCAU